UGACAUGGCAACAAGACAUUGAAUUGCUAUUUCUCGGACAUUAGAAACUUAUAUGUGAAUGGUCACAAGUAAACAUCGGAUCUAUAAGCGGACAGCUGGGUAGGAAGUAAAUGUGUGGAGCACAAGUUGAAAGUUAUACUCUGGCCACUUGAAUUUUAAAUAAGAUCACCUCAAAUCAAAUAACAAAAAUCUGAUAUUUACAAAGUAAAUAUAACAUUUACAGGAAUGAAAAAUAUGAACUAGCUUAAAAUUGUUAAUUCAUAUAAAGAGUACAACAGAAAAAAUUGAAUUUUUUCAUCAAGGAGAGAUUUAUUACCAUCGUACAAGGUAUGCAACAAGUUCAAUUAGGCAUUUAAUGAUAACAUGAGCAUUCUCUAUGACAGCUUUUCAAACUAGGGAGCUUAAUGCACUUGCUGGGAAAAAAUAAAUCCCUCCCUCGAACAGAGUACAUUUGGAAGCCUAGAAGCGACUAAUAACCAGAUAAUUCCUGCCGGUAAAAAUAACUAUUGAAAAGCAAGCCUCAUGAUCUGGAAAUUCUAGAUUAAGGCUAAUUAACAAGUAGAAUAAAGCCAAUGCAUGACAACAUUAAUAUAAAAGGAUUUUACAAGAGUUAAGGCCAACUAAUGGCCUGGCAUUUUAAAAAAUCUCUUGCUCAGGAUUUUCAGCAGUGCAUUUGGUUUCCUCUUUUCCUUGUUCCACAUAGCAGUAUCUACCCAGGAAAGAAAGAGAUGGAUGUAAGAUGCGUCAAUCCUCCAAUGGAAGGCAGCCAAGGAACAAAGUAAUAUCAACAAGAUUAGUUCCAUUCACCAAGACCUCUAGUUAAAUACACCUGAGAACUUAUACAAAUUUCAACAGCCAAAGAGUUUUCUGGUAUUCUAUAAUCAUGUUGUAUAGAUAUCAAUUUUAAAUCCAAACCUCUACAGAUAUCUGUUCGAAAAUGCCUCAUCUGCUACGAACAAGAAGUUAAAAGAAGAUAACGUUUAUCACAAUAAAAUUAAAAAGCUGUUUUUAACAACUUUUAUCAUGUUUUUUUGAUAUUUAUGUUUUGUUUUUGAAUUUCGAAUUUAUAAUAUUUAAAAGGUAUGAUUGAGGCAAGGAAGCUCAUAGGCUCAUAGGAAGCUCUUGUCAUUCAAUUUGCAUAUGAAGAAAAACAUAAAAUUAAGCCAACAUAUGCCAGAGCAGAACAAAGACUUCUUCAGAAAAAAACAACAAAGCCAAGCAAAUAAAACAAAAUCAAGACAAGCUAGGAGGAGAACAAGAAGUUAAGACAUCAACAUAAGUGGAUAAUUCUUUCAUAAUAAACAUGAUGUGACAGCUCUAAUCUUCCAAAUAAAUAAGGCUGUGAUUAAUGUCAAAACAGAAUUUCAGAAAUACCCAAUCCCCACUAGAUGGACCCUGAACCCAAUGCUGUCCAUGUAAAAACCUUCAAUAAUGUAAACAGCAGGCAAUUUGGCAUUAAGGUACUAAAUUUCAAAUAUGGAACUUCCUGAGUAUAUAUUUUUCACUUCACAUUUUUUUAAUCAACACCUCAUGCCCUAAUUAAUAUUGAUAGUUUUUGUCAUCAACUAAACUUGCUCCUCUAAACUUCCUUCAGCAUAGAUCCAAGAAAAAAUGAAUCUUUUUUAGAUAUAUCUCAAACUGAGGAAAGGCUCUCCCAUUUUUUUAUUAUGCCCCCUUCCACAACGAAACAAAAAUAACCUUCUUGCUUGGAAGAACUAAAUACCAUGUAAGAAAAAAAAUAGAAAAACUAUUAUCUUAAGCUCAAAUGAUAUAGGCACAACGCAAGAAGGUAACCCACCAAGAUUAUCCCCUCCAUAUAUUCAUAAAAUCUAUUCUCUGUUCUCCAAUUUCUAGCACUCAAAUGAUCAACAAUUAGGAUUUUGUACUGCGAGACAAGGACAUGCAGCUUCAAAACAAACAUUUGCUUUCAAGCUUCCUUCAGAAAACAGCAGUUAAUCCAGACCACAAGGAUCUUGAAGAAAUGCUUCAAGUUAAACAUUAAAAUUAAGUAGGAAGAAGAAUUUACGCCAAUGGAACAAUUUAAACAAAAAUCAUUCAACUGAAUUUGAGUAAAAAAGAAAAUGCCAGACUCAAAAGACAGACUACUAUUUCUCCAUUAAGACUAUUUUAAACAGAAUGUGUAUUUUCACACAAAUUAUCUAAUGGAAAUCCCGGCUCAGCAGUCAAACAUGUUCUUGUAAUAAUAAAAUUAUAUUACUAAAAUAUGACAUUCAAUAUUGUCCUGAAACAUGAGUAAAAUGAAGCAAAUAGAAACACAGCUGAAGAAACAAAGAAAGUAGAUGAUAAACACCAGACAGACGUAGAACACGAUUACAGGGGAAAAAAAAUCCAUAUACAGCUUUGCAGACAUAGAUUGUGUUGCUGAAUAACAAAGCCAGAAUCACCAGUCGCUCUGUGAAGAAUGUUA
RNAcentral lists this unclassified non-coding RNA (2428 nucleotides) under Hevea brasiliensis (rubber tree). The record is from RNAcentral. Lineage: Eukaryota; Viridiplantae; Streptophyta; Magnoliopsida; Malpighiales; Euphorbiaceae.